Long non-coding RNA from Patella vulgata (common limpet), 700 nucleotides. RefSeq lists it as uncharacterized. The record is from RefSeq and is a predicted model, not a curated record. Lineage: Eukaryota; Metazoa; Mollusca; Gastropoda; Patellidae. The transcript is spliced from 3 exons.
CAACCAAGAACUGUAACUAUUAUGAUAAGAGUAUUAGUUUGAACCAAUUCACCAAGAAUUGUUCUGAUGGAUGUUGUACUACCGGAACUAACGCCACCAUUUACAACGUAUGUUGCUACUCCUACGACUAUGAGGACGAAAACAGUCGUUUGGUCAAUAUCGCCAUAGGAAUAGCAGUAGGUGUAGUGGCGUGUGUUAUAUCUAUCAUAGUGGUGAUAGUUAUUAUUGCACGCUGUUGCUGUAAACGACUACCACAAACAAAGGGUCAUGUUAUUACAGCCCCAAACAUAACUGUGGUAUAUUCUAAUACUGUUCAUCCAAGAGUUGCGUAUCCUCCACAAGGAACUAAUAACCCGGCAUCUCCUCCAACUGGAUAUUCCUCUCCACCACCGCCUUAUGAUACAGGUACCUCCCCCGAAAAAGAUAACAAUGGCUUCCAAACACAUGUCAACAUAAAAUAAUUAACUUCUGUGAUAAUGAGUGGUUAUUAACUGUAUAUAAACAGAAAACCGUUUAUCGUAUUAACUGUAUAUAGACAGAUAAUGGUUUAUUAUAUUAACUGUAUAUAGACAGGUGGUGGUUUAUUAUAUUAACUGUAUAUAGACAGAGAAAGGUUUGUUAUAUCAAAUGUAUACAUGUUUAUUAUAUUAAUUGUAUGUAGACAGAUAAUGGUUUAUUAUAUUGACUGUAUAUAGCUAGA